This 544-nucleotide ribosomal RNA is filed under the name uncultured bacterium. RNAcentral's name for it is "bacterial SSU rRNA". It matches the Rfam family "Bacterial small subunit ribosomal RNA", at positions 777 to 1319 of the family's 1533-position model. The record is from RNAcentral.
AAUAGAUACCCGGGUAGUCCAUGCCGUAAACGUUGGGCACUAGGUGUGGGGGACAUUCCACGUUUUCCGCGCCGUAGCUAACGCAUUAAGUGCCCCGCCUGGGGAGUACGGCCGCAAGGCUAAAACUCAAAGGAAUUGACGGGGGCCCGCACAAGCGGCGGAGCAUGCGGAUUAAUUCGAUGCAACGCGAAGAACCUUACCAAGGCUUGACAUGUGCCAGACCGCCUCAGAGAUGGGGUUUCCCUUCGGGGCUGGUUCACAGGUGGUGCAUGGUUGUCGUCAGCUCGUGUCGUGAGAUGUUGGGUUAAGUCCCGCAACGAGCGCAACCCUCGUUCCAUGUUGCCAGCACGUAGUGGUGGGGACUCAUGGGAGACCGCCGGGGUCAACUCGGAGGAAGGUGGGGAUGACGUCAAAUCAUCAUGCCCCUUAUGUCUUGGGCUUCACGCAUGCUACAAUGGCCGGUACAAUGGGUUGCGAUACUGUGAGGUGGAGCUAAUCCCUAAAAGCCGGUCUCAGUUCGGAUUGGGGUCUGCAACUCGACCCC